CCCAAAAUGCGCAUGGGCCCGCAACGCGGGCCCGACUCGGAUUUUUUGCUUUUUUUCUUAAAAAACUCAGCCCACACACACACGGAAUUGGGCCUAUUAAAAAAGGAUGCCCGGCCCGAGUUCAGAAACCGGCCCGACGAGUGCAGGUCCGACCCGGGGAAACCCUACCCGGAAACGGAGGAACCGGGUCGAAAGGACCCGCGAACUGACCCGGUUCCCGGCCUCCUCUCUCCUUCGUUUGCUCGCGGCGCUGGUGGGAGGGACCGAGGCGUCACCGGGCAGACGGCAACGACGGCGGCGACGACGGAAUAGACGGCGAUGAGGGCGGCGACGGCGGCGACGAUGGAGACGACGGCGACGACGGUGGAGACGACGGCGACGACGACGACGACAAUCCGCUCAGCGAGGACGACCGACAAUGGGUCUGUGAUGGGGGUUUCAGUGGCGGCACGGUUCGAAAAGGGGGAAGAUGCGACGGCGGCGACACGACCGGCGGUGGUGAUGGUUACCGUUACCUGUCUGUGACAAGGUGGCGAACGGUGGCGGUGAUAGGAGGUAGUGACGUCGGCCCCGUAGCUCCUAGAUCUAGCGUGGCGUCGGCGGAUCGAUCGCGACGCGGCUUGACGGGGGAACAGCAGCAACAGAGCAACGGUCGCAGGUGGCCGAGAGCUUCCGGCUUCCCAGAUCUGGUCCUUCGGAACCUCCUCUCUCC
This 712-nucleotide long non-coding RNA is filed under the name Eucalyptus grandis. Its description in RNAcentral is "long non-coding RNA (EGRA_LNC007430)". Lineage: Eukaryota; Viridiplantae; Streptophyta; Magnoliopsida; Myrtales; Myrtaceae. The record is from RNAcentral.